ACAGCUUCUUGGCCUUUUGGCUAAGAUCAAGUGUAGUAUCUGUUCUUAUCAGUUUAAUAUCUGAUACGUCCUCUGUAUGAGGACUACGUAUUAAAUAGAUUUUUAGAACAGGGAGGUGGAAGAGGGGCUCCACGCAUCGACCUGGUAUUGCAGUACCUCCGGGAAUGGUGCACCUCCU
Molecule: small nuclear RNA, 178 nt
Organism: Pygocentrus nattereri (red-bellied piranha)
Lineage: Eukaryota; Metazoa; Chordata; Actinopteri; Characiformes; Serrasalmidae
Gene: U2
Rfam family: U2 spliceosomal RNA
About the family: U2 is a small nuclear RNA (snRNA) component of the spliceosome (involved in pre-mRNA splicing). Complementary binding between U2 snRNA (in an area lying towards the 5' end but 3' to hairpin I) and the branchpoint sequence (BPS) of the intron results the bulging out of an unpaired adenosine, on the BPS, which initiates a nucleophilic attack at the intronic 5' splice site, thus starting the first of two transesterification reactions that mediate splicing.
Source: Ensembl